Molecule: ribosomal RNA, 502 nt
Filed under: Diderma hemisphaericum
Lineage: Eukaryota; Evosea; Eumycetozoa; Physariida; Didymiaceae
Description: SSU rRNA
Rfam family: Eukaryotic small subunit ribosomal RNA
Source: RNAcentral
ACACAAAGAGUGGAACCUGCGGCUUAAUUUGACUCAACACGGGAAAACUCACCAGGUCCAGAUACACGUAUGAAAGACAAGCUGAAAGACUUUUCUCAAUGAUGUAAGUGGUGGUGCAUGGUCGUUCGUAGUUCGUGGAUUGAUUUGUCUGGUCUAUUCCGAUAACGAGCGAGACCCCGGCGUUCCUAAUAGGGGUGGCAGCCCGGCUUGCCGCAAGGCUUGCUAGCAGCCGCUUAAGAUUUACUUCUUAGACGUAUCAGAGCCGAUAAGGUUCUUGAAAUGGGUUAAUAACAGGUCAGUCAUGCCCUUAGAUGUUCUGGGCCGCACGCGCGUUACAAUGGCACGUAUAGAAAGUGCCUACAAAGGGCGUAUCCGGAGCCUAACGGUUCCGGUAACCCUUAGUCCCUGCCUUGACUGGGACAGACUAUUGCAAUUAUUGGUCUCAAACGAGGAAUUUUUAGUAGUCGCAGGUCAUUAACCUGCGACGAAUGCGUCCCUGCCC